GGGGCCCAGUUGGUUAGAGCGUGGUGUUGAUAACGCCAAGGUUGCAGGUUUGAUCCCCGUGUGGGGCA
Molecule: non-coding RNA, 68 nt
Organism: Podarcis lilfordi (Lilford's wall lizard)
Lineage: Eukaryota; Metazoa; Chordata; Lepidosauria; Squamata; Lacertidae
Source: the annotation of a GenBank genome assembly